Long non-coding RNA from Poecilia latipinna (sailfin molly), 2465 nucleotides. RefSeq lists it as uncharacterized. The record is from RefSeq and is a predicted model, not a curated record. NCBI's taxonomy places the organism in Eukaryota, Metazoa, Chordata, Actinopteri, Cyprinodontiformes, Poeciliidae. The transcript is spliced from 3 exons.
ACAGGAGACAUGUUUAAAUACUGGGAGAGUGAAUGUUGGAACAAAGGACCUGAGCUGACUAGCUAACGGGUUGCAGGUGUGAAGGGAGAGAGCAGAAGGCAGGUUUAGGAGAGAGAGAAAGAGAGAGAGAGAGAGAGAGACAGACAGACAGACAGAGAGAGAGCGAGAGAGUCAGAGAGAGAGAGAGAGACCCACCCACAGUGGGCUAGGGAAAGAAGCUAACAUUAAAGAAUAACAAAACAUAAGAGAUAUAAUUCAACUAGAGUAACAAAAAAUAACUAGACACACAAAAAAAUAAAAAUAAGGCACUAGAAUCACUGAGAAAGAAUUGAACUAAGGUAAAACAAGGUUGAUCCAAUCAAAAAGAGAGACCAAAGAACACAGAAUAAUAAUGAAACUAGAAUCAGUAACAGAAACAAUAUUAAGUUAAAAUCAUGUAUAAUAACUACCAUAUAGAGGGCAAAGUUAUCAUAGACAGGAAGUGGUGACAUUAAAAUCUGUCUAGCUGGUGUCAGGCAGAGCAAACACCCAACACGUUAAUUUACAGGACACAGAAUCGGAGCCAACUGGAUAAACAACUGUGUUUAUGUCUAGUGGAUGUGCUGCUUUACAACCAGAUGGAGAGACAUUAGAGAUGGCUGAUGGCCAUUUUGGGUCUUUAUGUGUCAACGUUGUGAUUGAAGAAAAUUUAUUACUGUUCAGAGUAUUUAAAUACUUAGUUAUAUUCGUCACAGUGGGUUCUUAAGAUACUUAAAAUAAAUGUUUAUUUACAAAAUAGCUUUUGGUAAGUGAUUUCCGUAUGAAGUUUAUUCAGGAUCUCAUCAGAUUUACUAAACUCUUCAAAAGCUAUGACCCCUGAACAGAAAGCUGUCAGGAUAUUUCAUUAUUCCCAGAUGGCGUUUACAGCUAAUUGGAAAAUUCCCCUGCAUGUUCUGCACUCCUACACCAUAAAUGACCCAUUUCAUUAUGCAGAUCACUUUGUAACCACAUCAACUUCCCAUUCCCACCUGAUGAACGUGCCUACUCAUCCCUUUCGUUGUUCUUCCUGUGUGGCUGCCGUUUUAUACCCUCCUCGAGUUUCCAAGCCUUUUGGGAACAGGAAGCAGCUUUUUGUAUGUGGCUGUGUGUGAUGUUGUGUCGGCCUGUUGUCACUGGCCCAUGUAAAGCUGGGAAUUACCGAAGCCUUGUCAGGGAUUUAUGAGGUUUAAGGUUUACCUUUCCAAGCCGGGAUUUUUUUUAGAGGCCUCUCACUCUGGAGAGCUUUUUGUUGGAGAUUAAAGUGCGCUGUGGUGUUUUUAAAACUGCAGCUUUGUUGAUCCAUAAAGGGCCACAAUGGUAAUGUUCACAAACAAAACGCCCAUACAUAAAUAUGACAUAGAUUGUUACACUCAUUAAUAAGCCAUCAGACCCAACCUGGGGGCGUCAGAAUACUCUAACAUUGGUCUGUCUGCUGUUCUCUACAUAUUUACUGUAACUGGUGCACCACUUCAAACUGGUAAUUUCAAAGAAUAUAAGCAUAUUUCAGCAUAGUAACCAGCCAGGUGCUGCUAAUUCAAUGCUUUUGAAAGCUGGUCAUAAUCAGUGUGGCCACCUCAAAAGAAUGCAGGAGCUAUGGCAGCUUACUGAUACACUGCAUCAGUGUGUGUUCACGCAGUGCAAAUAAGGAAAAACAUUAGCAAUGAUCUUACAGCAGCAUUUGUUGCUGCUCAACAAUCUAGUGAGGAUUGCAAAGCUGUUUUCAAACUAUCAAAAGUCCAGUGGAACAGAAAGAAAGACUAUUCACAGGUGUAAGACUUUCUAGACAGUCCUCCUGAGGGUGACUGUCUCAAUAAAUUCACUCAAAGGUCAGACUGUGCAGUGAUGUCCCAGGUCAUCUCUGAGGCGUGUGUUUUAAAAGUUCAAAAUUGUGACAGUAUGAUUUGUUUAGAAGGAGGAAGCAUCUUCUUUCUAAAAAGAAAAUGGCAGGAUGUGAGGGUUGGUGAUGGGUGUCUGUAUCCUACCUCUCUCUCCUCCUGCCAGGUGAUUACAUCCAGCUGUUCCCCAUUUGGGGUGCACUAUAUAGAGGAGCUGGUUCUGGAGAUGAGAUUCAACCCUUUUCUCGUUGAGCUCAUUCGCCAACUCCCUCACCCUUCAGCUCUAAGAAAAUAAGUAAAACUAACCACUUCCCCAUUCCAUUUACCUUCCUGCUCAGAACGGACCCAGUAGAGCCGAAGGUGCAAUAUGGCAGCCGUGCAUAGCCAUCAGGCUGCCCCAGAGCAGCAGUGGCUACAAUCCAGUAGCUUGAAGUCAUUUUAUUCAUGCCCAAUACAUUUUUAUGAGAGCAGACUUUUAAUACUAAGUGCUUUUUGGUUAAAUGAAGUUGUGAAAAAAACUAUUUGUUCAUUUCUUCCUGACACUUCAACUGUUCAAAAUAGAGCAAAUUGAAUUUGAGUGCCCUGUAAAAAAAAAAAAAGAAAAAAAAAAGU